GCCAGACUCCUACGGGAGGCAGCAGUGGGGGAUAUUGCACAAUGGGGGAAACCCUGAUGCAGCGACGCCGCGUGGGUGAAGAAGCGCCUCGGCGCGUAAAGCCCUGUCAGCAGGGAAGAAGAAAUGACGGUACCCGAGUAAGAAGCACCGGCUAAAUACGUGCCAGCAGCCGCGGUAAUACGUAGGGGGCAAGCGUUAUCCGGAAUUACUGGGUGUAAAGGGAGCGCAGACGGCAGUGCAAGUCUGGAGUGAAAGCCCGUGGCUUAACUACGGGACUGCUCUGGAAACUGUGCAGCUAGAGUGCAGGAGAGGCAGGCGGAAUUCCUAGUGUAGCGGUGAAAUGCGUAGAUAUUAGGAGGAACACCGGUGGCGAAGGCAGCCUGCUGGACUGUAACUGACGUUGAGGCUCGAAAGCGUGGGGAGCAAACAGGAUUAGAUACCCCGGUAC
Molecule: ribosomal RNA, 448 nt
Filed under: uncultured bacterium
Lineage: Bacteria
Description: partial 16S ribosomal RNA
Rfam family: Bacterial small subunit ribosomal RNA
Source: RNAcentral